Molecule: microRNA, 22 nt
Filed under: Homo sapiens (human)
Lineage: Eukaryota; Metazoa; Chordata; Mammalia; Primates; Hominidae
Description: hsa-miR-3157-3p
Source: miRBase by way of RNAcentral
CUGCCCUAGUCUAGCUGAAGCU